RNAcentral lists this long non-coding RNA (2507 nucleotides) under Daphnia magna. RNAcentral describes it as "uncharacterized LOC123466294, transcript variant X4". Lineage: Eukaryota; Metazoa; Arthropoda; Branchiopoda; Diplostraca; Daphniidae. The record is from RNAcentral.
UGUACGGUUUAACCUUUAACGCCGGUUUGUGGAAAAGAUUCAUGGGCAUGUAAAAAUAGAUUUCGACCGACACUUAAGUACAUCAAGGGAUGAAGGAAAAAGGGAAAGGCUGCCGAAUUGUCGAAUCAAAGAUUUGAUGCAUUAACUUCUGAUAGAUGAUGACACUAGAUAUUCACCUACAUCAUCUUGAAUUUUGAAAACAGUUGAAAACAGGAGAAAGGCAAUCCUAAAUAUCGGAGAUCCCUCUUUAACUCAAUAAAGGUUCAGGUGUCAUAAAUGGAAAAUGUGAUGCAAUUAAAGAAAAAGGUGAUAAGAUAUUGGAUUAGUGUUGGUAGCUGAACCAGUAUGGAAGUUACUUGUUCUUUCUUACCAACUUACUUGUGGACAGAAAUCAGUAAUCCUGAAAGGUGUUUUGAUUGAUCUAAAUUCCAUACAAACUAAUCUGUACUCCUAAUAUUUUGUAACAUGGAAUGCUGAUCAAUUAUCUGUGACGGGGAAUCACCUUGACAGCAUAAAUUGGCAAAAUAUUCCAGUUAAUGAGAAAUAUGUGUGAAGAAAUUUAGCAAAUCCAAUACUCUGGAAUCCUUGGAUAAAGCUCUUUGUGACAUAUGCUAUUCCUGAAAGUGGCAAUAUCCAACCAAAGUCAAGCAAGCAUAUGAACAAACAACUAUGGAAAGCAGUUAACCCAGGAACUAAAUCCAAAGAUAAACCUAUCAUGAAACACUUGCUUUAUAAACACCAUACUGCAUCUAGACACUUCGCCAUUCAACGAUUCUUUUUAAACGAGCUACAUUGGGCUUCAAUUGAAAAAACCUAAAGGAUGCCGUUGAUGACUUUAUCGGUGCCUGAAUCGUUAUGGGGGACAUGUUAUGGCCAUAGAAAAUUCCGCCUUGAGAAGAACAAAGAUGAUGGUGAUGGUUGACACUGUUUUAGCUAUGGGAACCUGAUAUUUGCAGGCCCCUCUUAUCAUCAAAGGGAAUAUUGAUGAUUCAAGUGUCUUUAAAUGUUACUAACAAAAUGUUAAUUGCGUUUUGUUAGUUUAUUGAAUUUUUUGUUUUGUUUUAGAAAUACCAUAAAACUGUCUCCCCACACCCGUACCCGUGAGGUUGCUUUAGCACAUAGAUGUCGUUGCGUUCUUGGACCAACUUGAGCUACGGGAUGGCGGUUGCAUAACUUGUCAAAGCAGCGUGCGUUUUAUUCUGCAUCCAGCUUAUCCAAAACGUUCGAUGGAUUGAAAAUCGAUCCUCCUCAACAUCCAUUGGUAGAUAACUAGUAUGGAAAUUCUGUGUUACCAACUUACUCCUGGAUAGGAAACAGUAGCACUUAAAGAUUGUAGACCGUUGAAUACUGAUCGGAGAUCUGUGGUUGGAAAUGUACUUGACAGCAUAAAUUAGCCAAAUAUCCUUGGAAUGAAAUACGUGUGAAGAAGUUUAGCAAAACCAAAACUCAAAGUUGCAUGACAGAAGUUAUUCCAUAUUCCACCAUUGUUUAUAUGUUUUGUAAUCGUCCAAGUCAACAGCAUGGUUCAUCUUGUUCAUUACUGUAGAAAUUAAGUUUGGACUUUGCUUUGCUAUCAAAUAACUUACUGUUUUGUUCUUUGAAAUUAUUAGGUCACCGUUACGAAGGAGAUUCUUCAAGUACCCGUUAUGCUCAACCAAGUCUUGGUAUGUUGAAAAAUCUGGGCAUCACAUAUUUCAUCAACAGCGUCUUGCAAAUAGAUAAUUCGCCAUUCAACGAUUCUUCUUUGGAAGAGCUGCAGUAGCCCCAAUUAAACAAAAAGAAUCUUCUAGGCAAUCAAAUUGUCGAAUCCAACGAAUGCCGUUUAUAACCUUAUUGGAGUCUGUAGUCGUUAUGGAGGAUUUGCUGCGGGUACAGCAAAGACCGUUUUGCGAAGAACGAGGAUGGUGGUGUUGGCAUUGUUUGGACGAUAGGCCAUAGGGGUAUUCUAGUCUUUACCAGCAGCCGUUUACAAGACGGAACACAAAGGGUCAAUCAGCAAAUUUGCGAAAAUGAUGGGGAUUCGAGUUUAUUGUAACCCAUGAUUGUACGCCUAUCAGUAUUAAUAUCUAUAUUCGUGCUAUGCUUCGUUUAGAGCGUAAAGGAACGCAUUUUGUUGUCUUAUGAUAUCACAAUUGAUGAGGUACUGGUCUUUACUGUACGGAAGGGUAUUGUUUUUUGUUUGUUUUGUUUCGUUUUUUGUUUGUUUGUUUUUUCUUUUCUUCUUCUUUUAACCCCAUUGCAAUUUUAAAAAUGUGACUGUUACGGUUUCGGGGUAGGUAGGUAAAAUCGGGGUUGAAUCGGUGCGAGAACUUGACGAUAAUGUUCUAGUAUAAACCGAUUGUUUGCGUUUGCCUUUGGGGCGAAAAAGUGUCAACCCUAUACGGAAAAUUCUUCCCCGACUUGUGAACCCCAAUUGCCUCGGGUAUUAUUGUAUAUCUAUGCCAUUUUAGCCUCAACUUUGUAUGUAAACGUAUUAUGAACCGACAAUAAAACUUUUUGCAAAAAAA